UACGAAGGGUGCAAGCGUUAAUCGGAAUUACUGGGCGUAAAGCGCGCGUAGGUGGUUCGUUAAGUUGGAUGUGAAAGCCCCGGGCUCAACCAAGGAACUGCACCUGAUACUGCCUAACUAGAGUACGGUAGAGGGUAGUGGAAUUUCCUGUGUAGCGGUGAAAUGCGUAGAUAUAGGAAGGAACACCAGUGGCGAAGGCGACUACCUGGACUGAUACUGACACUGAGGUGCGAAAGCGUGGGGAGCAAACAGG
Molecule: ribosomal RNA, 253 nt
Filed under: uncultured bacterium
Lineage: Bacteria
Description: partial 16S ribosomal RNA
Rfam family: Bacterial small subunit ribosomal RNA
Source: RNAcentral